This 469-nucleotide ribosomal RNA is filed under the name uncultured bacterium. RNAcentral describes it as "partial 16S ribosomal RNA". It matches the Rfam family "Bacterial small subunit ribosomal RNA", at positions 28 to 508 of the family's 1533-position model. The record is from RNAcentral.
GACGAACGCUGGCGGCGUGCUUAACACAUGCAAGUCGAACGGAAAGGCCCUGCUUUUGUGGGGUGCUCGAGUGGCGAACGGGUGAGUAACACGUGAGUAACCUGCCCUUGACUUUGGGAUAACUUCAGGAAACUGGGGCUAAUACCGGAUAGGAGCUCCUGCUGCAUGGUGGGGGUUGGAAAGUUUCGGCGGUUGGGGAUGGACUCGCGGCUUAUCAGCUUGUUGGUGGGGUAGUGGCUUACCAAGGCUUUGACGGGUAGCCGGCCUGGGAGGGUGACCGGCCACAUUGGGACUGAGAUACGGCCCCGACUCCUACGGGAGGCAGCAGUGGGGAAUCUUGCACAAUGGGCGGAAGCCUGAUGCAGCAACGCCGCGUGCGGGAUGACGGCCUUCGGGUUGUAAACCGCUUUCGCCUGUGACGAAGCGUGAGUGGCGGUAAUGGGUAAAGAAGCACCGGCUAACUACGUGC